CAGUCGCCACGGGAAUACGAAGGGUGCAAGCGUUACUCGGAAUUACUGGGCGUAAAGCGUGCGUAGGUGGUGGUUUAAGUCCGUUGUGAAAGCCCUGGGCUCAACCUGGGAAUUGCAGUGGAUACUGGGUCACUAGAGUGUGGUAGAGGAUAGUGGAAUUUCCGGUGUAGCAGUGAAAUGCGUAGAGAUCGGAAGGAACAUCUGCGGCGAAGGCGACUAUCUGGGCCAACACUGACACUGAGGCACGAAAGCGUGGGGAGCAAACAGGAUUAGAUACCCGAGUAGUCCCUGUCUCUUAUAC
This 301-nucleotide ribosomal RNA is filed under the name uncultured bacterium. RNAcentral describes it as "partial 16S ribosomal RNA". It matches the Rfam family "Bacterial small subunit ribosomal RNA", at positions 509 to 807 of the family's 1533-position model. The record is from RNAcentral.